AGUGAACGCUGGCGGUAGGCCUAACACAUGCAAGUCGAACGGCAGCACAGUAAGAGCUUGCUCUUACGGGUGGCGAGUGGCGGACGGGUGAGGAAUACAUCGGAAUCUACUUUUUCGUGGGGGAUAACGUAGGGAAACUUACGCUAAUACCGCAUACGACCUACGGGUGAAAGCAGGGGAUCUUCGGACCUUGCGCGAUUGAAUGAGCCGAUGUCGGAUUAGCUAGUUGGCGGGGUAAAGGCCCACCAAGGCGACGAUCCGUAGCUGGUCUGAGAGGAUGAUCAGCCACACUGGAACUGAGACACGGUCCAGACUCCUACGGGAGGCAGCAGUGGGGGAUAUUGGACAAUGGGCGCAAGCCUGAUCCAGCCAUACCGCGUGGGUGAAGAAGGCCUUCGGGUUGUAAAGCCCUUUUGUUGGGAAAGAAAAGCAGCAGGUUAAUACCCCGCUGUUCUGACGGUACCCAAAGAAUAAGCACCGGCUAACUUCGUGC
This 493-nucleotide ribosomal RNA is filed under the name uncultured bacterium. RNAcentral's name for it is "partial 16S ribosomal RNA". It matches the Rfam family "Bacterial small subunit ribosomal RNA", at positions 29 to 508 of the family's 1533-position model. The record is from RNAcentral.